AUUGAACGCUGGCGGCAGGCUUAACACAUGCAAGUCGAGCGGAGUGAUGGUGCUUGCACUAUCACUUAGCGGCGGACGGGUGAGUAAUGCUUAGGAAUCUGCCUAUUAGUGGGGGACAGCAUCUCGAAAGGGAUGCUAAUACCGCAUACGUCCUACGGGAGAAAGCAGGGGAUCACUUGUGACCUUGCGCUAAUAGAUGAGCCUAAGUCGGAUUAGCUAGUUGGUGGGGUAAAGGCCUACCAAGGCGACGAUCUGUAGCGGGUCUGAGAGGAUGAUCCCCCCGACUGGGACUGAGACACGGCCCAGACUCCUACGGGAGGCAGCAGUGGGGAAUAUUGGACAAUGGGGGGAACCCUGAUCCAGCCAUGCCGCGUGUGUGAAGAAGGCCUUAUGGUUGUAAAGCACUUUAAGCGAGGAGGAGGCUCUUUUGGUUAAUACCCAAGAUGAGUGGACGUUACUCGCAGAAUAAGCACCGGCUAACUCUGUGCCAGCAGCCGCAGUAA
Molecule: ribosomal RNA, 503 nt
Filed under: uncultured bacterium
Lineage: Bacteria
Description: partial 16S ribosomal RNA
Rfam family: Bacterial small subunit ribosomal RNA
Source: RNAcentral